GACGAACGCUGGCGGCGUGCCUAAUACAUGCAAGUAGAACGCUGAAGAGAGGAGCUUGCUCUUCUUGGAUGAGUUGCGAACGGGUGAGUAACGCGUAGGUAACCUGCCUUGUAGCGGGGGAUAACUAUUGGAAACGAUAGCUAAUACCGCAUAACAAUGGAUGACACAUGUCAUUUAUUUGAAAGGGGCAAUUGCUCCACUACAAGAUGGACCUGCGUUGUAUUAGCUAGUAGGUGAGGUAAUGGCUCACCUAGGCGACGAUACAUAGCCGACCUGAGAGGGUGAUCGGCCACACUGGGACUGAGACACGGCCCAGACUCCUACGGGAGGCAGCAGUAGGGAAUCUUCGGCAAUGGGGGCAACCCUGACCGAGCAACGCCGCGUGAGUGAAGAAGGUUUUCGGACCGUAAAGCUCUGUUGUAAGUCAAGAACGGGUGUGAGAGUGGAAAGUUCGCACUGUGACGGUAGCUUACCAGAAAGGGACGGCUAACUACGUG
RNAcentral lists this ribosomal RNA (497 nucleotides) under uncultured bacterium. RNAcentral describes it as "partial 16S ribosomal RNA". It matches the Rfam family "Bacterial small subunit ribosomal RNA", at positions 28 to 507 of the family's 1533-position model. The record is from RNAcentral.